UAUGAGUUAAAGACUAAAAAUGUAUGUUAUUGGCUCUUUAAUGUGGCAGUGCUGCAGUCUUUCUUGCAUGGUCCUCUCCCAUCAAUGGCGAGUGACCCAGCAGCACUGCCCAGACUGAUGGAAGAACCGAAGGCGAGGCCUCUGGAGGCGGCGAGGUGUUUCGUGCGAUAUUCUUCCUACAGAUUCACCCUUUGGCCCUGUUUCCACGGCGGUAACGGUUGGCCUGUACUGUUACCGAUCUACAAACGGGCAGAGCAGAUGAGCAGCUAGAUAUUGUCUGUGGAUCGGAUCUGUCUUGGCUGCCUGAACCAAGUUCAAGUGGAGGAACAACUUGUAAAGACAUUCUCAGAAUUAUAAAAGAUCUGAGAGGAAAAAGAGGCAUAAUAAGGAGCUGUUGAGUGACACAUUAACACUGUAAAAUGAAAUGACCAUGUAGUGAAAUUUUUAAUCAAAUCUUAAUUGCUCUCUCAUUGUUUUGCCAUGCAUCACAUCUGUUUUUUCUGGUCAUUUGUUUGUGUAUUUUUGUUCAUUUUAGUUUAACCUGAUUAAAGAGAUUACACUUGAA
This is a long non-coding RNA of Colossoma macropomum (tambaqui), 565 nucleotides long. RefSeq lists it as uncharacterized. NCBI's taxonomy places the organism in Eukaryota, Metazoa, Chordata, Actinopteri, Characiformes, Serrasalmidae. The record is from RefSeq and is a predicted model, not a curated record. The transcript has 2 exons.